RNAcentral lists this ribosomal RNA (253 nucleotides) under uncultured bacterium. RNAcentral describes it as "partial 16S ribosomal RNA". It matches the Rfam family "Bacterial small subunit ribosomal RNA", at positions 524 to 776 of the family's 1533-position model. The record is from RNAcentral.
UACGAAGGGGGCUAGCGUUGCUCGGAAUCACUGGGCGUAAAGCGCACGUAGGCGGAUUGUUAAGUCAGGGGUGAAAUCCUGGAGCUCAACUCCAGAACUGCCUUUGAUACUGGCGAUCUCGAGUCCGGGAGAGGUGAGUGGAACUGCGAGUGUAGAGGUGAAAUUCGUAGAUAUUCGCAAGAACACCAGUGGCGAAGGCGGCUCACUGGCCCGGAACUGACGCUGAGGUGCGAAAGCGUGGGGAGCGAACAGG